Molecule: ribosomal RNA, 419 nt
Filed under: uncultured Lachnospiraceae bacterium
Lineage: Bacteria; Bacillati; Bacillota; Clostridia; Lachnospirales; Lachnospiraceae
Description: bacterial SSU rRNA
Rfam family: Bacterial small subunit ribosomal RNA
Source: RNAcentral
AGACAGGUGGUGCAUGGUUGUCGUCAGCUCGUGUCGUGAGAUGUUGGGUUAAGUCCCGCAACGAGCGCAACCCUUAUCCUUAGUAGCCAGCAAGUCAAGUUGGGCACUCUGGGGAGACUGCCAGGGAUAACCUGGAGGAAGGUGGGGAUGACGUCAAAUCAUCAUGCCCCUUAUGAUUUGGGCUACACACGUGCUACAAUGGCGUAAACAAAGGGAAGCAAAGGAGCGAUCUGGAGCAAACCCCAAAAAUAACGUCUCAGUUCGGAUUGUAGUCUGCAACUCGACUACAUGAAGCUGGAAUCGCUAGUAAUCGCGGAUCAGAAUGCCGCGGUGAAUACGUUCCCGGGUCUUGUACACACCGCCCGUCACACCAUGGGAGUUGGUAACGCCCGAAGUCAGUGACCCAACCGUAAGGAGGG